This 212-nucleotide ribosomal RNA is filed under the name uncultured bacterium. RNAcentral describes it as "partial 16S ribosomal RNA". It matches the Rfam family "Bacterial small subunit ribosomal RNA", at positions 524 to 735 of the family's 1533-position model. The record is from RNAcentral.
UACGGAGGGUGCGAGCGUUGUCCGGAAUCAUUGGGCGUAAAGGGCGCGUAGGUGGCGGCUUAAGCGUGCGGUGAAAGCUCGGGGCUCAACCCCGAGUCGGCCAUGCGAACUGAGUCGCUUGAGCACUGUAGAGGCAGGCGGAAUUCCGGGUGUAGCGGUGGAAUGCGUAGAGAUCCGGAAGAACACCGGUGGCGAAGGCGGCCUGCUGGGCU